UACGUAGGGGGCAAGCGUUAUCCGGAAUUACUGGGUGUAAAGGGAGCGUAGACGGUAAUGUAAGUCUGGAGUGAAAGGCGGGGGCCCAACCCCCGGACUGCUCUGGAAACUAUGUUACUAGAGUGCAGGAGAGGUAAGCGGAAUUCCUAGUGUGGCGGUGAGAUGCGUAGAUAUUAGGAGGAACACCAGUGGCGAAGGCGGCUUACUGGACUGUAACUGACGUUGAGGCUCGAAAGCGUGGGGAGCAAACAGG
This 253-nucleotide ribosomal RNA is filed under the name uncultured bacterium. Its description in RNAcentral is "partial 16S ribosomal RNA". It matches the Rfam family "Bacterial small subunit ribosomal RNA", at positions 524 to 776 of the family's 1533-position model. The record is from RNAcentral.